CAUCACCUGUGACAUCAAAGGAAUGCAUGUUACCCAGUGCCUUUGAGACUCAGACUGUGAUCCAUGCUGAAUCUGAGUACACGAGGACUGUGCUGUCACUUGCUUCAGAAAGGCCUCAGCCUGACCUGGCCAUCUAGUGAAACCAAAUGGGCUGCAACAGAUUUGUGACCAUUUAUUCAAGAACAGUUUUCUGCAUCUUUGCACUGGAAUCCGUUCUCACCUGCUCCCCCAAGAGCUUCCCAGCUGAGCAGAGCCUGCACGGUGGGACCGGAGCAUCGCACACCCAUGGGCCAGGCAGUGACAGCACUGAACUGCUCCUGGCCUACUUAAGUUGUAAAACAAUUUAGUUUUCUUCAGCAUGUUCAGAGAGAAAAAUGUCACUGUUGCUUUUCCCUGCAGAUGUGUCCGUGCACCUCUAACGGCUACAUCUGCCUCUGUCAACCUAUGGAAUUGAGGAUGCUUUUCACCAUAAUCAAGCUGUGUAUAAUCAUAAUUAUAAUCAUAAUAGAAUGAUGAUGAGAACAAUAAUAAAUAUCAAGGAGCUGC
This 546-nucleotide long non-coding RNA is filed under the name Anas platyrhynchos platyrhynchos (common mallard). Its description in RNAcentral is "lncRNA (ENSAPLG00000016921.1)". Lineage: Eukaryota; Metazoa; Chordata; Aves; Anseriformes; Anatidae. The record is from RNAcentral.